GGGACACAGAGAUGAAGCCUCCAGAA
RNAcentral lists this non-coding RNA (26 nucleotides) under Rattus norvegicus (Norway rat). Lineage: Eukaryota; Metazoa; Chordata; Mammalia; Rodentia; Muridae. The record is from RNAcentral.